Molecule: ribosomal RNA, 494 nt
Filed under: uncultured bacterium
Lineage: Bacteria
Description: partial 16S ribosomal RNA
Rfam family: Bacterial small subunit ribosomal RNA
Source: RNAcentral
GACGAACGCUGGCGGCGUGCUUAACACAUGCAAGUCGAACGGUGAAGCGCCUUCCUUUUUGGUGGGUGUGGAUGAGUGGCGAACGGGUGAGUAACACGUGAGUAACCUGCCCCCUUCUUCUGGAUAACCGCAUGAAAGUGUGGCUAAUACGGGAUAUUCUGGGUCUGUCGCAUGAUGGGUCUGGGAAAGAUAUUGUUUCGGUGGGGGAUGGGCGCGCGGCCUAUCAGCUUGUUGGUGGGGUGAUGGCCUACCAAGGCGGUGACGGGUAGCCGGCCUGAGAGGGUGGACGGUCACACUGGGACUGAGACACGGCCCAGACUCCUACGGGAGGCAGCAGUGGGGAAUAUUGCACAAUGGGCGCAAGCCUGAUGCAGCGACGCCGCGUGAGGGAUGGAGGCCUUCGGGUUGUGAACCUCUUUCGCCAGUGAAGCAGGCCUGCCUCGUUUGUGGGUGGGUUGACGGUAGCUGGAUAAGAAGCGCCGGCUAACUACGUG